RNAcentral lists this ribosomal RNA (519 nucleotides) under uncultured bacterium. RNAcentral's name for it is "bacterial SSU rRNA". It matches the Rfam family "Bacterial small subunit ribosomal RNA", at positions 1 to 525 of the family's 1533-position model. The record is from RNAcentral.
UAGAGUUUGAUCAUGGCUCAGGACGAACGCUGGCGGCGUGCCUAACACAUGCAAGUCAACUUGACUGAAGGAGCAAUCUGACAGUAGAGUGGCGCAAGGGUGCGUAACGCGUAAGUAACUUGCCCCAAGGUAAGGAAUAACGUCGAGAAAUCGGCGCUAAUACCUCAUAAUGCAGCGGAUCCGCAUGGAUAUGUUGUUAAAGGUUUACCGCCUUGGGAUAGGCUUGCGUCUGAUUAGUUAGUUGGUGUGGUAACGGCACACCAAGGCUACGAUCAGUAACUGGUCUGAGAGGAUGAUCAGUCACACUGGAACUGAGACACGGUCCAGACUCCUACGGGAGGCAGCAGUGAGGAAUAUUGGGCAAUGCUCGAAAGAGUGACCCAGCAACGCCGCGUGGAGGAUGAAGGUAUUCUAUAUCGUAAACUCCUGUGAGAGCAGACGAAAGACAGAUUAUUAAUCUGGAUGACUGUAUGCUCAGAGGAAGCCCCGGCUAACUACGUGCCAGCAGCCGCGGUAAUA